RNAcentral lists this transfer RNA (74 nucleotides) under Apaloderma vittatum (bar-tailed trogon). It matches the Rfam family "tRNA". Rfam says of the family: Transfer RNA (tRNA) molecules are approximately 80 nucleotides in length. Their secondary structure includes four short double-helical elements and three loops (D, anti-codon, and T loops). The record is from Rfam by way of RNAcentral. Lineage: Eukaryota; Metazoa; Chordata; Aves; Trogoniformes; Trogonidae.
AGUUCCAGUGCCCAGAGCGUUAGAGCUUGGUGCUGAUAACACCAAGAUCGCGGGUUUGAUCCCCGUUUGGUCUC